Molecule: long non-coding RNA, 1136 nt
Organism: Raphanus sativus (radish)
Lineage: Eukaryota; Viridiplantae; Streptophyta; Magnoliopsida; Brassicales; Brassicaceae
Exons: 2
Source: RefSeq, a predicted model, not a curated record
GUAUGAUAUGAUUAUAUUUUGGUGGGGACAAAUCCUAUAUAAACUUUUUAAAGAUAGCUAGAAAAUGUUAGAGUAAUUGCACUUGAUAUACAAAAAAGAAAGAUUAUUUAGGUCUUCGGAUGUGCACUGUUCACUUUUUAAAUAUUCCAGCAAUGUCCCUGUGACAUCCUUUCUAAAGCUUCUUCGCCUCUUUACAGCUCCUCCGUGACAGUUUACUGAAAUUACUUCUCCGGUGCUCCGUCGUUUCGCUGAAAUUACUCUUCUUCCUUUCGAAGUUGCUUUUCCUCCCUUCAAAAUUACUCUUUCGAUGCUCUGUUAUUGUUGCAUCGAAAACGCCAUUGACGCUCGAGCUUCUCGCGGCGGAGAAGGAGCUCCUCACGCCGGAGUAAGAGACACGUCCUCUUCCGACCCAAUAAAGUACAUGUUUCCUCCUCGGAAGCUACAAAGCGAUCUCGGUCUCCAAGCACUCUGUUUCUUAUAAUCCAAAACGUUAGAAUCGUCGGAUUAAUCUUCCUGAAGAACCUCCCGAGUCUCGAGAAUCUAUGAUGCUUCGUCUUGUUGAUCUCAACGCAGCUGCUACUACUCCUCUUGAAGACCACAACCUCCUCGGUUCUCGUCACUUCCUCUGUUCUAGUUGUCUUCCUAUGUUUCGUCCCUGGCGUCUACGGCGUCGUUCAAGAUUGAUUGAAAGAAAGCGUUUGCGGUCAGAUUCUGAUGACUCCACGGUAGAAACGGUGCAGAGGACAAUACUAUGGUGGGUCUCAACUAAAAGAAGUCAAAGCCCACUCAGCUUUCCAAUUUUCUAUGGCUAAACUCGAAGAGGAGAUCUGCAACAUUCUUGUAUCCCAAACAUUUGUUUCAAACCUGAUUUUUGAAGAAUCAUCAGUCUCUUCCCCCUCCUCAUGCGCUGAAACUAGAGAAGAUAGCACCGACGAUGGUGAUGUUACAGAAGAAGAUGAUGUUACUGCAAAAGAUGGUUAUGGUUAAGCCGCGUAGAAGAAUUACAGAUCCACAAACAGAGAGACCAAACCGUAAUUCCUACCUUCUUUCCUUUUCUUUCCCGACAGAUUGUGCAAAUUUAGUAAAGUAUUGUAUUCUUACCUAAUUAAUUUAAUUUCUACUUAUAUACAGCUAAA